Molecule: long non-coding RNA, 361 nt
Organism: Oncorhynchus tshawytscha (Chinook salmon)
Lineage: Eukaryota; Metazoa; Chordata; Actinopteri; Salmoniformes; Salmonidae
Source: Ensembl
UACAGCUCGGCAUUCAACACCAUAGUACCCUCCAAGCUCGUCAUCAAGCUCGAGACCCUGGGUCUCGACCCCGCCCUGUGCAACUGGGUACUGGACUUCCUGACGGGACGCCCCCAGGUGGUGAGGGUAGGCAACAACAUCUCCACCCCGCUGAUCCUCAACACUGGGGCCCCACAAGGGUGCGUUCUGAGCCCUCUCCUGUACUCCCUGUUCACCCACGACUGCGUGGCCACGCACGCCUCCAACUCAAUCAUCAAGUUUGCGGACGACACAACAGUGGUAGGCUUGAUUACCAACAACGACGAGACGGCCUACAGGGAGGAGGUGAGGGCCCUCGGAGUGUGGUGUCCGGAAAAUAACC